Molecule: unclassified non-coding RNA, 343 nt
Filed under: Hevea brasiliensis (rubber tree)
Lineage: Eukaryota; Viridiplantae; Streptophyta; Magnoliopsida; Malpighiales; Euphorbiaceae
Source: RNAcentral
UGAAAAAGCCUUUUUUUUUUUUUUGGAUUUUCUAUAAGGGGCAUAAGGAAAUGAAAUUGGGCAAACCUGGAGUGAAGCAAGACGGAUAUAUAUGGAGGGCCAUUUGGGUGGACGGGUUGUAAAUAAGAUGUGGUUAGGAGGGUAGAUCUUUAAGUAAUAAAGGGCGGUUAGUACAUGGUAGGAGUGUAACUGAGAUCGGACUGUACACAAAGUUGCCGGUUGGUGGGUUAGGGUUUCGUUUUGGGCUCUCCACGCAUAUUCAGGAGAGUGUAAUAAACGCUCUUCAUUUUUUAAAAAAAUUAUAUCAUUUUUCUAACUUAAAUAAAAUGUAAACAUCUUAAAA